This 465-nucleotide ribosomal RNA is filed under the name Vreelandella stevensii. RNAcentral's name for it is "partial 16S ribosomal RNA". It matches the Rfam family "Bacterial small subunit ribosomal RNA", at positions 338 to 795 of the family's 1533-position model. Lineage: Bacteria; Pseudomonadati; Pseudomonadota; Gammaproteobacteria; Oceanospirillales; Halomonadaceae. The record is from RNAcentral.
CCUACGGGUGGCAGCAGUGGGGAAUAUUGGACAAUGGGCGAAAGCCUGAUCCAGCCAUGCCGCGUGUGUGAAGAAGGCCUUCGGGUUGUAAAGCACUUUCAGUGGGGAAGAAAGCCUUGGGGCUAAUACCCUCGAGGAAGGACAUCACCCACAGAAGAAGCACCGGCUAACUCCGUGCCAGCAGCCGCGGUAAUACGGAGGGUGCGAGCGUUAAUCGGAAUUACUGGGCGUAAAGCGCGCGUAGGCGGUCUGAUAAGCCGGUUGUGAAAGCCCCGGGCUCAACCUGGGAACGGCAUCCGGAACUGUCAGGCUAGAGUGCAGGAGAGGAAGGUAGAAUUCCCGGUGUAGCGGUGAAAUGCGUAGAGAUCGGGAGGAAUACCAGUGGCGAAGGCGGCCUUCUGGACUGACACUGACGCUGAGGUGCGAAAGAGUGGGUAGCAAACAGGAUUAGAUACCCGAGUAGUC